Molecule: long non-coding RNA, 496 nt
Filed under: Elaeis guineensis (African oil palm)
Lineage: Eukaryota; Viridiplantae; Streptophyta; Magnoliopsida; Arecales; Arecaceae
Description: long non-coding RNA (EGUI_LNC052593)
Source: RNAcentral
CUUGACGUGGCUCCCCAGACCUCAGGUAGUCUGCAAUCUCUAAAAAGACCUCAACCAUCAAGUUUUUGAUUGCAAUGACUUACACAAUAGAUCCCAAUCCAAACAAGUCAUCUAAAUAGGAGAUCUAUUUUCUUAGACAUGUCUGAUUUGACUUUGGAGCUCAAAAAAAAAUAAGCAUAUAUGCUAUCCAAAAUCUGACAAUAUCUUCAAUGUCCUCUUUUCUAUUAGAUAUCUUUAGCUGACUAAUUAAAGACUCUAACCCCCUAUACUGCAUGUUCAACCUCAUUCCAAACCUUUCAAAUAACCUGUCGGUCUUCUUUAGAUGUUUUACGAUGGCUGAGAUUUUGAUUCCGUAACAUAAAAGCCCUAAAAUAAGUGCCACUUUCUCGACAUUGAAUGUUAUAAUUUUUUCAUCAACAAUGAAUUGAUCUCCUCUAACAUAAUAUUUUAUGAUCUCCAAGAGCAGCACCCCAUCUACAACAAAGGGCUCCAUGUC